Molecule: non-coding RNA, 218 nt
Filed under: Bacillus gaemokensis
Lineage: Bacteria; Bacillati; Bacillota; Bacilli; Caryophanales; Bacillaceae
Description: T-box sequence
Rfam family: T-box leader
About the family: Uncharged tRNA acts as the effector for transcription antitermination of genes in the T-box leader family. T-boxes are found upstream of many aminoacyl-tRNA synthetase genes and some amino acid biosynthetic genes usually in Gram-positive bacteria.
Source: RNAcentral
AUGUAUGCAAUGAGAAAGAAGAGUACAUAUUGCAGCGAUUUCAGAGAGCUUGUGGCCGGUGCGAACAAGUAAUUGUACAGUAUGGAAUGGGCUUUUGAGCACCAAACCGAAACAUCUUUGGAGUAGGCUUUGGCGUUUUAUCCAGCGUUACAAUGGAUAAAAGAGAUUUCACAAACGUGAAAUAAUUAGGGUGGUACCGCGGUCCAUUCGUCCCUAUA